CCUUAUCAGAAGAGACAGGAACAAGAAACGGCAUUCACCAAAAUCAAGGAAGAAGGCUGCAGCCAGAGAGAAAGGGAGGCUUACCUGCAGAGGGGGCUGGGAUGCAGCCGGGAAGGGAGAGACAGUGUCCAGAGGCAGCGAUCACAGGACCACAAAAACUUCCCUGCAAAAGUUCAGCUUUGAUCACGUUAAUGGAAACCAUAAACUGGAUCAUUUGACCAUCAGACCUUGUUAUAUGGGAUCCAAGUGCAGCCUCAAGACCUUUGUCAUAUCCAUUAAAUAAUUUACCCAGCAAACACAUACAUUUGAAGAUGAAAGCCCAUGUACCUGGCAAGAUUGUUGAUGGUGUGUCUGUCUCCUGCAGCACUUCCCAGUCACUCCUACAAGCCAUGGAAGCAAAGUGCUCCUGCUUUUGGUUUAUUCAUCUCCCUGCUCUGUUCCUGGGUGGUCUGUCUGCAUUCCCCACCCAUCUCCUCCUCCACUCCUGACCCUCCACUACUGGGACUGGGGUGGAGAAGGCAGGCAUGCUGCUAACAGUUUUCCGUAUGAUUUUAAUAGAAAAACACUGUUCCACAUAAUCCUCUAACAUAGGUAGCACCUGGUACCACCGCCACCAAAAAACAUUCAUUGUGUAGACCAAAAACCAUAUUCAGGACAGAAAUUUUCUAUUUUUUCACCCAGUUAUACAUGGUACUUCAAUAUGACUCUGAGACUCUUUGGAGCCCAACUAGUAAGAACACUGUAAACAUUUUCCAGACUAAAAAAAAAAAAAAAAAAACGUUUAAAUCAUUGUUUUUAGACCAAGCAAAAGGGUAAGAAUGCAGAAUGGUCAAAAGGAUUCAAACAUCUAACACCCAGAAAAAUGGUGUGGGACGGGUGGGGGAAUUUACUACCAGUGGAGUGUCAUUCACGGAGUCACACUAACUUGACUUCUGCCACUUUUCCGACUGCCCUAGAAGAGUCACUCCACUCAGAGCCAUCUCACCCUCUCUCCAAUCCUUCAGUGGCCAUGCACACAGCUGCCCCAUCAGCCUAGUGGCCUCUCUUUCCUUCUUAGGGAAGAAAUGUUUCAUGGGACUGUUAUGAAGAGGUGGCAGAUGCAGAAAAGGAAAUAAAGCUGUAGUAGAGUGAGCAGAGCAGUUUUAGAUCAUUAGUAAACCUGAGUUCAAGUCUGGGCUCUAACAUGUUCUGGCUAUGACCUCUGAGUAAAUCGAUUACUUCUUCAGCCUGAUUACCUGUAAAACAGUGCUUCCUUUGUUCAUCAGAAGGUAUCUAGUGAGUACUUAUUAUAUGCCAAGCAUUGUCCUAAGUGCCCCAUAGUGCCAGGAAAGGGGGUGAGUUCUGUUUCAAAGUAGUUCAGAGAACUCACUGAGAAGGUGAUAUUUUGAGUAAACACUUGAAAGAAAUGAGAGCGAACCAGGAGAACUCUGAGGUCUUUGUCCAGCGCAAUUGAAAGAAUCGUGUUGCCAUUAACCAAUGAGAUGGGAGAGCAGAGGGAGGGACUGAGAGGGAGGAGCGAAGAUAUAGAAUUUAGUAAUGAUAAUAUUUGCCCUUCCUCCCUCACAGAAUUAAAUGCAAUGACUAAUGUGCAAUUUACCCUGCAAAUAUACUUUUCUGUUGCUAGUAUUCUCCUUUCCUGUUCGGAAGCAACCUAUCCCAUGGACAUUCCUUUCUGCCCCACAGGUUCUACUUGGUGGCGAGGAAGUGUUCCUAGCACGUGGAGUCUUGCAUCUGGCAGCACAGGUUUUAUCUUUACCAAUGAAGCACUUGAAACACUUUGCUGAGUCUUCACAACUGCUUUAGGAAUCAGAGACCCAAAGUUUCAGGAACCAUCAGGAAGGCUGGACUGAAUAAGGGAAGGAGGAAGAAAAAAAAAGAGCAGAAGCUAUGACUUAUCCUUCAAGCUUGGCUAGUUAUUUCCCCUGUCACCUCAUCAGGCAGAUAUAUUUAGACCCACCCUUGAAUUAAUAAGUGGUUUCCUGGGAAGGGUGAUUUAAAACUCUGGUGCUUGAAAUUCUGCUAUUAGUCCUGUAAAUUCCUUUAGAUUAAAAGUUAUUUGCUCUCAUGGGGCCUCUGGAAUGCAGUUUCCUCUGGAGUGCAGAUACCUCUGAGUGAAAUAAUGUAUCAGGUCCCUAAUACCUCAGUAUAUAAUUGAGUGUAUUAAAUCGCUUCCUUUGUUAUCUGAUGGGCAAGAUUGGACCCUGGGAAUUUAGAAGGCCAUGGAGAUCCCACUCAACUCAGCCCUGGCCAGCCUUGAAUGUGUACUUUUCUUCUAAGAAAUUCCAAUUGUUAUUGUUUUCCUAGAAGACAAUAAAAAAGACAUCCUGUUGAUGUCUAAAAGAACUGCAAAUGUAAAAAAUAAAAAGUAACAUUUUAAUUCGAUUUCUUUCCCAAGAACCAGAACAUCCUCCUGGCCUAUAACAUAGCCCUCACUUUACCCCUCUGGUGCUGGAGGCUUUUGUGUCUCAUUUUUAUUCGACUCACACAUGUCUGGGGAGAGGGCCCUCUGAGAUUUCAUCUUGGCUGUGCUUCAGGCUCCAUAAUAGGAAUGGAUCCACAUUUUUUAAUACAAGGAGGGCAGGUGGCAGCAAGCCAAAGUGGCCUCUGUGGAGUAUGUGUGCAGGAGUGGUGUUUUUAGUGUGCAUUGAAAAAUCAGGAGCCAGACAAGACAAAAGCCCAUGCUGGCAGUGUGCCCCUAUGAAGGGUAUCUGUACCAAGACUUAAAAAAAAAGGAAAUUAAUGCAUUUUCUUUUCUAUUGAAUUAAGUUCUGUACCAGCUUUUGUUCCUAGGUACACUGUGUGGAGUGUGUGUGUGUGUGUGUGUGUGUGUGUGUGUGUGUGUACAGACAUACACACAGACUAGUUGCUUCCAUAGCUGCCUGAAAAAUCACACAAGCAAGCUAUAGAACUUGAACCCAGAGUGUUAAGUGGGCAACUGAGUGAUCAUCUACAAGUCUUUCAAGAGGAAAGGAAGUAUCAUUGUCUUUGUUAAUAAUUUGUCUCCUUUUGAAGUUUACAAAUAUAUUUGUGUCAACCCAUAAUCCAAGAAUGUUAAUUAAUUGCCUAACUGGAUGAAUCUCUCUAUAAUAUGGAUUUAUUUUAAACACAAGUAGUUAGUAAGAAAUACUAAAAUUGAUUUGGAUGUGCAGUAAGUCCCAUUAUUCUGUGGUAUAGACCACACAUUCGAAAUGCAGUAUCACAUAAUUUCGCUCUCCAUUUCA
This is a long non-coding RNA of Fukomys damarensis (Damara mole-rat), 3221 nucleotides long. RefSeq lists it as uncharacterized. The transcript has 5 exons. The record is from RefSeq and is a predicted model, not a curated record. NCBI's taxonomy places the organism in Eukaryota, Metazoa, Chordata, Mammalia, Rodentia, Bathyergidae.